AGUGAACGCUGGCGGUAGGCCUAACACAUGCCAGUCGAACGGCAGCACAGUAAGAGCUUGCUCUUACGGGUGGCGAGUGGCGGACGGGUGAGGAAUACAUCGGAAUCUACUUUUUCGUGGGGGAUAACGUAGGGAAACUUACGCUAAUACCGCAUACGACCUACGGGUGAAAGCAGGGGAUCUUCGGACCUUGCGCGAUUGAAUGAGCCGAUGUCGGAUUAGCCAGUUGGCGGGGUAAAGGCCCACCAAGGCGACGAUCCGUAGCUGGUCUGAGAGGAUGAUCAGCCACAGUGGAACUGAGACACGGUCCAGACUCCUACGGGAGGCAGCAGUGGGGAAUAGUGGACAAUGGGCGCAAGCCUGAUCCAGCCAUACCGCGUGGGUGAAGAAGGCCUUCGGGUUGUAAAGCCCUUUUGUUGGGAAAGAAAAGCAGCAGGUUAAUACCCCGCUGUUCUGACGGUACCCAAAGAAUAAGCACCGGCUAACUUCGUG
Molecule: ribosomal RNA, 492 nt
Filed under: uncultured bacterium
Lineage: Bacteria
Description: partial 16S ribosomal RNA
Rfam family: Bacterial small subunit ribosomal RNA
Source: RNAcentral